Molecule: ribosomal RNA, 301 nt
Filed under: uncultured bacterium
Lineage: Bacteria
Description: partial 16S ribosomal RNA
Rfam family: Bacterial small subunit ribosomal RNA
Source: RNAcentral
CAGUCGCCGCGGGAAAACGUAGGUGGCAAGCGUUGUCCGGAAUUAUUGGGCGUAAAGGGCUCGCAGGCGGUCUCUUAAGUCUGAUGUGAAAGCCCCCGGCUCAACCGGGGAGGGUCAUUGGAAACUGGGAAACUUGAGUGCAGAAGAGGAGAGUGGAAUUCCACGUGUAGCGGUGAAAUGCGUAGAGAUGUGGAGGAACACCAGUGGCGAAGGCGACUCUCUGGUCUGUAACUGACGCUGAGGAGCGAAAGCGUGGGGAGCGAACAGGAUUAGAUACCCCCGUAGUCCCUGUCUCUUAUAU